Long non-coding RNA from Parus major (Great Tit), 3323 nucleotides. RefSeq lists it as uncharacterized. The record is from RefSeq and is a predicted model, not a curated record. Lineage: Eukaryota; Metazoa; Chordata; Aves; Passeriformes; Paridae. The transcript has 3 exons.
UCCUCUUUAAACAAUGACAAUUGCAGUAAAACAAAGCUACUGGAGGAUGCAAAAAAAUGGGAAAUACUAUACCUCAGCCCCUGACCUUCCUGAAGCUGAAGUUUGAAAGAGCCUUGCUGAUGGUGAUUCAGAUUCAUCCUGAAGGAUCUACUGCUGUUUGAUGGGAAUUCAUCAAAACACACUGUGUCACUUCACGAGGAGCAUAGGACAGCAUGGGACUCUAGUUUCUCCUCUUCUUUGAGGAUGAAGAGUUGGAAAUUCUAAAUGGACACACCACAAGCAGUAUAGUCAAGAGGAAGAUUAGGAGUUUUGGCAGGUUUUGAAUCUUUGAAGAAUCAGACCACAAGGAUGGUGAUCUUGAUAUUAAGGCCUGUGUUUAUAAGAGUGAUUGCUUUGCCAUGUUCUCCUUGAGGGACCUGGCUGAGCAUCCAGAAAGGGCACAUAUGUUAUCACCUCCACUGAGGCAGGCUGGCUCAUGCUACCAGAUGUGUUUUGUUGCUUUGAGCUCCUCUGUGUGCUGUGCAUUACCAGCACUUGUAGGAACAAUAGGAGAUUUUGCUGCUUGUUGCAUCCUCAGUUUUCCUUGUUGUCCUUUACUCUCCUCCUGUACUUGGACACAGGAAUAGUUCUCAGUGAGGCUGUGGGCUCUGCUUGCUGGCAGGGAGGUGGCAGCUCAUUGACAGUGCCACCACCAGGGUGACUUUGGCCAUAACACAGUUUCUCUGUGUCUUUGCAGCUUUCUGAGUAAGGAGGUCUGUCAGCCUGAGGGUUCAUUUGCACAAACACCAUGGGUGGGAAAUCUAACACUAUGUUGGGCCAUGUUUAUUUUAAGUCUCAGGGCUGCUGAGUGCUCUGUCAGCCAAGGCAGUCCCCCAAGCCAUGGGAGCACCAGAGCUCUCUGGCACUGGGUCCCCCCCAGCACAGGCACCUUCCUCUGGGACACCACUUUGGGAAAUCUGUUGUUUCCCAUCUUUUCCUUGCCAGCUCUCAGCAGUUUCUGUGCGUGCCCACCAGAGAGCAACCCCAGCACAGGGUUGUUGUCUCCAGAGAGAUAGAUUGUAGGGCUGAGUGUGAGGUCAAAUCAUCUUUCUUCACCCUUUCCAGCCCUAUCACCUCAUCCCAAACCUGAGCUGAGCAGUGAGUUCAGGCCCUCUGUGUCCUGGGCAAGAGGAGUGUCCCACAGGGAAGGAAGGACAUGCUGGAGGAGAGAGGCAGGAGACCCGGGCAAACCCAGUGCCAUCUCUGGGAAAGGACCAUGCCAUGAAUUAGCAAGGGACAUCUAUCCAGGAUGUACAGGAAACAAGGAUUCAGACAGAGCUGAACUAUUUGGAUGGCCAAAAAUCUGGUGGUUUUUGCAGUUUCCUGUAAGUGCAUAGACAAAUUGUACUCAUCUUGGAGAAGCACAGUCAUUUAGUAUUGAAAAGACCUUUAGGAUCCUGGGGCCCAACAGACAUCUCAGUGGGUAUCUUUGAUGCUUGAACAGGUAGCUGGGUAUCUUGGUGGGGUUUUCUGUGUGAGACUCUGUCCCAGUGUUUGGGGAAGGAACAAAGCCACGUUUUUCAUGUCUCCUCAGGCUUUGUGAGGUCAUCUCAGCCUCUGGGCUGGCAAGAAGUCCCAGGGUAGGCAGCUGGGCUUGGAGGUGGGGUUCAACUGUGCAACAUCAAAUAUCUUAUUUGAGCUGCCUGGGUCAGGAGGGAGGGGUGGGUAAGGUUGGCCUUUCCUGGGAUAGACACAGUGCAAGGGACUGAAUCUCCUGCAGGAAGGACCUGUCCCUCCCCUCUGCCUCCUCUGAGCCAUAGGAGCAGCAUUCACAGGCCAGUGGUGGUGCCAAGAUCUGUGGCACUGCUGAGCUGCAGCCCCAGUGCCUGUAGAAAUGGGCUUUGAGAGAAAGCUGAGGGAAGAAACAACUGCUUGCUAUUUUUAUCCUUGCACCAGCCCCCGGGGAUUUCGAUUGACAGGAUUAGUUAUGAAGCCAAUAUUAUGAGUUUAACUAUGAGUGAAAUAACACAACUUCUGUGGGAAGCAGAGUAAAAGAGGCAAUUAUACAGUAGUUUAAUAACAGCGCACUGCUGGCUGGGUAGCUGAAAACUUACAGUUGACAGUAAUUAGAUUUUUCCAUUCUUCCUGUUAAAUAGCUAUAAAAAUUACAACAGAAAAUAAUCUGAUUCUCUUUUAUUUCAUGCUGUUUACAUCAUCCAGUCGGUAUCCAUUUGGCCUUCUGAUUGUUCUUUAUAUGGUUUUAGUAUCUGGUAUUUAAGACAUGCAGAAAUGGGACAGUGUUAAAAUGCAGAAAGCACUAGGAAUGAGGGAAAGGCAGUAACACUCUUCUGAGCAUGAGGAAUCCAGGGGAUGCUUGAAUGGACAGUGAGAGCUUUCCAAAUUGACUAACUCUGAAUAACAGUUGGGUUUCUAACCGCAGGAGUUAUUCCAAAUAAUUUAAAAUUACAGUAAAAAAAUGAGAUGUUAGGAAUGAAAUCCCCAUUUACCUGUCUGUUACUGUAAUGUGCCAGGUGUAGAUAAGCAGGAGGGAUGGAGGGAGGUGCUGUGGCACAUCAGUCUGCACUGGUUGCUUGCUGCCUUCAUCUCCCUGCUGGGAUGGGAGUCCAUGCUGUGAUGUGAUUCUGGGCUUUACUCCCACCUUGGGCUCCGUGCUGGGAUGGGAGUGUGACUGGUGGGGGUGUUUGUUAUCUGGCAAAGAGCUGGACUUGGACAAAAAUCAGUGAGGUCCCUCAGAUCUGCAGGGCAUCUUCUCUUCCCAGUCUUUGCUGCUCUUCCAUACCCUGCAGUGCUGGGAUUUGUGCCCCGUGGUGCUGGGUCUGUACAGGCAUCUCAUGUCCCUGUUGUUCAUAUCCCAAGUGAUGCUUCUUUGUCUGCUGCCCUCCUUUCAAGCACUGUCCUUUUUUUUUCCCCUCGGUGUCUAGACAGCAGUAAGUUUUCUCUUAUGGCAUAAGAAUGUGAAUUACUUUAGAAAUAUACAGUUGUUAAACUUGCAGGGUGAAACUUAAUGAGCCAACAAAUGUGUGUCAUUUGGCUGCUUAUGAUCAUAGCUUGAAAGUGCAGCACAGCACAAAGGGAAGAACUCUCAAGUUUGCUCUCACCAUUGAAAGCUCAGGAUGGGAUAUUUGCUUGGAGAUUAAAAGUACUCUUCCUUUUACUCUCCUUUUCCUUGUAAUGUAAAAGAUCCAGGUAUGGUAAAUGGUAUCCUGGUUGUGAUGUUGUGCAGGGAAUUUAAUGUGAGGUGGUGUUUGUAGCUCUGGUGCCUGGUGGGAUCUCUGACACACAAUAAAUACAUUCUGUGGCAGCACACCCAACCUCAAAGCACA